CGCAUCUGUGCAUGCAGCAUAUCAAUAAGCGGAGGAAAAGAAACUAACAAGGAUUCCCUCAGUAACGGCGAGUGAAGCGGGAAGAGCUCAAAUUUGAAAUCUUGAAAGGUCACCUUUCACGAAUUGUAGUUUAAAGAAGUGUUUUCUGUUACGAUCGUAAUAUAAGUUCUUUGGAAUAGGACAUCACAGAGGGUGAGAAUCCCGUCUAUGAUUGCGAUUUGUAGCUUUGUGAUACACUUUCAAAGAGUCGGGUUGUUUGGGAAUGCAGCCCAAAACGGGAGGUAAAUUUCUUCUAAGGCUAAAUAUUGGCGAGAGACCGAGUAGCGAACAAGUACCGUGAGGGAAAGAUGAAAAGAACUUUGAAAAGAGAGUUAAAUAGUACGUGAAAUUGUCAAAAGGGAAGCGUUUAACACCAGUGUUGUUUUCUGAAAAUCAACCUCUGUUAGCUUUAUGCAUGUUUGUUUAGACCUAAUCAGCUAUCUUGCAUGUUCUAUUGUUUGCAGUGGUGCACUUUUCAGUUUACAGGUCAACAUCAGUUUUUUUUACCGUAAAAAAGUUAAAGAAAGGUAGCUCAUGGCUCCGGUCGUGAGUGUUAUAGUCUUUUUCCUAUGCGGUAGGAGAGACUGAGGUCUGCAGUGUAGGCUAUUUGGCUAGAUACUCAGGUGCUAUGUGAUACCAUUUCAUAAACAACUUGUUGAUUAUGUUUUGUCUAUUGCAUACUCGCUUGUACUAUCAUACCUACGCUUAGGAUGUUGACGAUCAGCUGAGCGCG
RNAcentral lists this ribosomal RNA (772 nucleotides) under uncultured Neocallimastigales. RNAcentral describes it as "partial large subunit ribosomal RNA". It matches the Rfam family "Eukaryotic large subunit ribosomal RNA", at positions 26 to 637 of the family's 3401-position model. Lineage: Eukaryota; Fungi; Neocallimastigomycota; Neocallimastigomycetes; Neocallimastigales. The record is from RNAcentral.